UAGCGUAUAUUAGUUGUUGCAGUUAAAGCUCGUAGUUGGAUUUCGGGUGGGUCAGCGGUCCGCCUAUGGUGAGUACUGCUGUGGCCUUCCUUACUGUCGGGGACCUGCUUCUGGGCUUCAUUGUCCGGGACGGAUUCGGCAUGGUUACUUUGAGUAAAUUAGAGUGUUCAAAGCAGGCUUACGCCGUGAAUACUUUAGCAUGGAAUAACAUGAUAGGACUCUGCCCUAUUCUGUUGGCCUGUAGGAGUGGAGUAAUGAUUAAGAGGAACAGUCGGGGGCAUUCGUAUUUCAUUGUCAGAGGUGAAAUUCUUGGAUUUAUGAAAGACGAACUACUGCGAAAGCAUUUGCCAAGGAUGUUUUCAUUAAUCAAGAACGAAAGUUGGGGGCUCGAAGACGAUUAGAUACCGUCGUAGUCUCAACCAUAAACGAUGCCGACUAGGGAUCGGG
RNAcentral lists this ribosomal RNA (447 nucleotides) under Desmodesmus subspicatus. RNAcentral's name for it is "SSU rRNA". It matches the Rfam family "Eukaryotic small subunit ribosomal RNA", at positions 595 to 1057 of the family's 1831-position model. Lineage: Eukaryota; Viridiplantae; Chlorophyta; Chlorophyceae; Sphaeropleales; Scenedesmaceae. The record is from RNAcentral.